CAGCAGCCGCCGCGGUAAUACGUAGGUCCCGAGCGUUGUCCGGAUUUAUUGGGCGUAAAGGGUGCGUAGGCGGGUCUUUAAGUCAGGGGUGAAAUCCUGGAGCUCAACUCCAGAACUGCCUUUGAUACUGAAGAUCUUGAGUUCGGGAGAGGUGAGUGGAACUGCGAGUGUAGAGGUGAAAUUCGUAGAUAUUCGCAAGAACACCAGUGGCGAAGGCGGCUCUCUGGUCUGUAACUGACGCUGAGGAGCGAAAGCGUGGGGAGCGAACAGGAUUAGAUACCCCUGUAGUCCCUGUCUCUUAUAC
This 304-nucleotide ribosomal RNA is filed under the name uncultured bacterium. RNAcentral describes it as "partial 16S ribosomal RNA". It matches the Rfam family "Bacterial small subunit ribosomal RNA", at positions 506 to 807 of the family's 1533-position model. The record is from RNAcentral.